This 220-nucleotide ribosomal RNA is filed under the name uncultured bacterium. Its description in RNAcentral is "partial 16S ribosomal RNA". It matches the Rfam family "Bacterial small subunit ribosomal RNA", at positions 57 to 305 of the family's 1533-position model. The record is from RNAcentral.
GCAAGUCGAGCGCUCUCUUCGGAGGGAGCGGCGGACGGGUUAGUAACGCGUGGGAAUGUACCCUUCUCUAUGGAAUGGCCAUUGGAAACGAUGAGUAAUAACAUAUACGCACUUCGAGGGAAAGAUUUAUCGGAGAAGGAUCAGCCCGCGUUAGAUUAGAUAGUUGGUGGGGUAAUGGCCUACCAAGUCUACGAUCUAUAGCUGGUUUUAGAGGAUGAUC